UACCCGCAGCACAAGUGGUGGUCAUUAUUAUUGGGCCUAAAGCGUCCGUAGCUGGCUUGUUAGAUGCCUGGGUAAAUCGAUGCGCUCAACGCAUCGAACUCCGGGUAGACCGGCAAGCUUGGGACCGGGAGAGGCGUGAGCUACUCGAGGGGUAGGGGUAAAAUCCUGAAUCCUUCGGGGAGGACCAGUGGCGAAGGCGUCACGCUAGAACGGCUCCGACAGUGAGGGACGAAGCCCUGGGGCGCAAACCGG
This 252-nucleotide ribosomal RNA is filed under the name uncultured bacterium. RNAcentral describes it as "partial 16S ribosomal RNA". It matches the Rfam family "Archaeal small subunit ribosomal RNA", at positions 474 to 727 of the family's 1478-position model. The record is from RNAcentral.